Molecule: ribosomal RNA, 465 nt
Filed under: uncultured bacterium
Lineage: Bacteria
Description: partial 16S ribosomal RNA
Rfam family: Bacterial small subunit ribosomal RNA
Source: RNAcentral
CUACGGGUCGCAGCAGUCGAGAAUCUUUAGCAAUGGGCGAAAGCCUGACUAUGCGACGCCGCGUGAGGGAUGAAGGUCUUCGGAUCGUAAACCUCUGUCACAACGGAUGAAAGUUCAAUAUGUGAAUAAUGUGUUGGAUUGACAGUACGUUGAGAGGAAGCCACGGCCAACUCCGUGCCAGCAGCCGCGAUAAUACGGAGGUGGCGAGCAUUGUUCGGAAUUACUGGGUGUAAAGAGCGUGUAGGCGUUCUGACAAGUCAAUGGUGAAAUCCCUCGGCUUAACUGAGGAACUGCCACUGAAACUGUUAGAAUUGAGUUUGGGAGGGGAGAGCGGAAUUUCCGGUGUAAGGGUGAAAUCUGUAGAUAUCGGGAAGAACACCUGUGGCGAAGGCGGCUCUCUGGCCCAAAACUGACGCUCAGACGCGAAAGCUAGGGGAGCGAACAGGAUUAGAUACCCCCGUAGUC